AUAUGCUUGUCCCGAAGCUUAAGCCAUGCAUGUCUCCGAAUAACUAGUAGCUUGAUCCCGAAUCUGCGAACGGCUCCGUAUAUCUGUUGUAACCCGCCUCCGCCCAGGACCCCUCGGCAUAACCACGGUAAUUCUGUGGCUAAUACGUGUAACACCGGCCCCCCGCCCCUGGCGGGGGUCAGCCGGACUCGCCGCGCACCCGGGUUCACCCGCGUGAGAGCUGGCGAGCGUGCCUUACCGGGGGAGGUAAGCCCCUGGAGCGUGAGACGGGCUUCAGACCUAUCAACUAGAUGGCCAGGGAUAGCCUGGCCACGGUUAUUACGGGUACAGAGGAUCAGGGUUCGGUCCUGGAGAGGUAGCCUGAGAGAUCGCUACUACUUCUAAGGAAGGCAGCAGGCGCGCAACGUUCCCAAUGGGGAUACCCUGAGGACGUGAAGGGACAUACCAAUGCCCGGCCCUUAAAGCCGGGCAAUUGGAAUGGGGGACCUCUAAACCCCACACCGAGUAACA
RNAcentral lists this ribosomal RNA (510 nucleotides) under Oligonema schweinitzii. RNAcentral's name for it is "SSU rRNA". It matches the Rfam family "Eukaryotic small subunit ribosomal RNA", at positions 26 to 546 of the family's 1831-position model. Lineage: Eukaryota; Evosea; Eumycetozoa; Trichiida; Trichiidae. The record is from RNAcentral.